CGUUUUAGAAACAUUCAGGGCCAACAGUUUCAGGAUUGUUGAGCUCCAUUGGCGGGAUUUCGCCGUCUUCGUUUCUCUUUCUUCGCGGACGAACACGCGCCAGGGGCUGAGCGCUGUGCGAUGCAUCGACUUCACGUCGGUUGCGCGCCGGCAUGUCUCUCGUGUUAGGGGCUUGUAGCUCAGUUGGUUAGAGCGCGCGCUUGAUAAGCGUGAGGUCGGAAGUUCAAGUCUUCCCAGGCCCACCAUUUUGAUCGAGUGCGGAGCAUUCGUCUUCUGGUACGGGGCCAUAGCUCAGCUGGGAGAGCGCGUGCUUUGCAAGCAUGAGGUCGUCGGUUCGAUCCCGUCUGGCUCCACCAGAUGGAAUUGAAGCUCGAGAAUGCCUCGUCAAAUUCGUCCGCGAAACAUCACUUCGCACUCAUUGGUCCGGAUGGACGGUGACGUGCGUGUUUUCUGACAUCGUAAAGAGGAGAUCGAUCCGAGUUUGGAUCUGCGAAGCAAUUCGCGGGUACCAUUCCUAAUCUCCAGAUCGUUUUCGGCGCUCGUUCAUCGCUACUCAUCGCAAGAUGAGUGAGAUGAGUGAGUUGUAAAACGAUCUUUGUAGCGAAGCUUGACCGCCUCGCUAUCGGGCCGAUCUUACGAAGCAAGCUGGUCUUUCUAGUCAAUGUCCGGCUGUGCAAUCGCAUUCAUCGAGGAUGCGCGCCUGGGACUUCGGUCUUUGGGCAAUUACACAGACAACAUUCUGCCGAGUGUGUGGACAUUGAUAAUGAGAGCAAUCAAGUGCCUUAAGGGUGUUCGGUG
RNAcentral lists this transfer RNA (798 nucleotides) under Bradyrhizobium sp. SEMIA 6424. Its description in RNAcentral is "partial contains 16S-23S ribosomal RNA intergenic spacer and 23S ribosomal RNA". The stretch from base 169 to 242 matches the Rfam family "tRNA". Lineage: Bacteria; Pseudomonadati; Pseudomonadota; Alphaproteobacteria; Hyphomicrobiales; Nitrobacteraceae. The record is from RNAcentral.